GCCAGGCGUGGUGGCGCACCCCUGUAAUCCCAGCUACUUGGGAGGCUGAGGUAGGAGAAUCACUUGAACCUGGGGGGCAGAGGUUGCAGUGAGCUGAGAUCAAGCCACUGCACUCCAGCCUGGGUGACAAAGUGAGACUCCGUCUCAA
This 148-nucleotide non-coding RNA is filed under the name Pan troglodytes (chimpanzee). Lineage: Eukaryota; Metazoa; Chordata; Mammalia; Primates; Hominidae. The record is from Rfam by way of RNAcentral.